Molecule: ribosomal RNA, 253 nt
Filed under: uncultured bacterium
Lineage: Bacteria
Description: partial 16S ribosomal RNA
Rfam family: Bacterial small subunit ribosomal RNA
Source: RNAcentral
UACGUAGGGCGCAAGCGUUAUCCGGAAUUAUUGGGCGUAAAGAGCUCGUAGGCGGUUUGUCGCGUCUGCCGUGAAAGUUCGGGGCUCAACUCCGGAUCUGCGGUGGGUACGGGCAGACUAGAGUGAUGUAGGGGAGACUGGAAUUCCUGGUGUAGCGGUGAAAUGCGCAGAUAUCAGGAGGAACACCGAUGGCGAAGGCAGGUCUCUGGGCAUUAACUGACGCUGAGGAGCGAAAGCGUGGGGAGCGAACAGG